This 22-nucleotide microRNA is filed under the name Human alphaherpesvirus 1 (Herpes simplex virus type 1). RNAcentral describes it as "hsv1-miR-H5-3p". Its record names the gene hsv1-miR-H5-3p. The record is from miRBase by way of RNAcentral. Lineage: Duplodnaviria; Heunggongvirae; Peploviricota; Herviviricetes; Herpesvirales; Orthoherpesviridae.
GUCAGAGAUCCAAACCCUCCGG